RNAcentral lists this ribosomal RNA (2014 nucleotides) under Helicobacter pylori Hp M1. RNAcentral describes it as "partial 16S ribosomal RNA". The stretch from base 1 to 985 matches the Rfam family "Bacterial small subunit ribosomal RNA", at positions 549 to 1533 of the family's 1533-position model. Lineage: Bacteria; Pseudomonadati; Campylobacterota; Epsilonproteobacteria; Campylobacterales; Helicobacteraceae. The record is from RNAcentral.
AAUCACUGGGCGUAAAGAGCGCGUAGGCGGGAUAGUCAGUCAGGUGUGAAAUCCUAUGGCUUAACCAUAGAACUGCAUUUGAAACUACUAUUCUAGAGUGUGGGAGAGGUAGGUGGAAUUCUUGGUGUAGGGGUAAAAUCCGUAGAGAUCAAGAGGAAUACUCAUUGCGAAGGCGACCUGCUGGAACAUUACUGACGCUGAUUGCGCGAAAGCGUGGGGAGCAAACAGGAUUAGAUACCCUGGUAGUCCACGCCCUAAACGAUGGAUGCUAGUUGUUGGAGGGCUUAGUCUCUCCAGUAAUGCAGCUAACGCAUUAAGCAUCCCGCCUGGGGAGUACGGUCGCAAGAUUAAAACUCAAAGGAAUAGACGGGGACCCGCACAAGCGGUGGAGCAUGUGGUUUAAUUCGAAGCUACACGAAGAACCUUACCUAGGCUUGACAUUGAGAGAAUCCGCUAGAAAUAGUGGAGUGUCUAGCUUGCUAGACCUUGAAAACAGGUGCUGCACGGCUGUCGUCAGCUCGUGUCGUGAGAUGUUGGGUUAAGUCCCGCAACGAGCGCAACCCCCUUUCUUAGUUGCUAACAGGUCAUGCUGAGAACUCUAAGGAUACUGCCUCCGUAAGGAGGAGGAAGGUGGGGACGACGUCAAGUCAUCAUGGCCCUUACGCCUAGGGCUACACACGUGCUACAAUGGGGCGCACAAAGAGAAGCAAUACUGCGAAGUGGAGCCAAUCUUCAAAACGCCUCUCAGUUCGGAUUGUAGGCUGCAACUCGCCUGCAUGAAGCUGGAAUCGCUAGUAAUCGCAAAUCAGCCAUGUUGCGGUGAAUACGUUCCCGGGUCUUGUACUCACCGCCCGUCACACCAUGGGAGUUGUGUUUGCCUUAAGUCAGGAUGCUAAAUUGGCUACUGCCCACGGCACACACAGCGACUGGGGUGAAGUCGUAACAAGGUAACCGUAGGUGAACCUGCGGUUGGAUCACCUCCUUUCUAGAGAAAAGCUUUUAACAUUCGCUUGUUAAAAGCCAAAGAGUAUUACCUGACAAAAGGACUUCUUGUUGCUUAGUUUUGAAAGAUUGAAGUUAUUCUUUCUCUCUUUACUUCUUGAUUGUUUUUAAUAUUUACUUGCUUGUUGUUUGUUAUUUCUUAAUACUUAUAUUUUUAGUUGUUAGUGUUUUUAUAUUUAAUGUUUAAUGUGUUUAGUUUGCUUGUGUUGGUUUCUUAAAUCUUACUUCUUGUUUUUUUCCAUUCUUAUUUUUUACUUAUUGCGUUUUAAUUCUUAUGUUUAACUUUUUGUUUUUUACGCUUUAAUAUUAAAGUUUUAGUUUUGGUGUUUUGCUUCUUGUUUCUUUGUGUUCUUAAGGUUUUUACUGAUUAUAAUUUUUGUUUGUUGUUUAAUGUUUUUAGUUUGUUGUUUCACCUUGUCUUUUGCUUGCUUGAUUUUGGUUUCUUACUGCUUAUGGUUUUUACUUCUUGCUUUUUAUUUAGUUUGAUUUUGAUUUGAUUGUGUUUCGUGUUUGUGUUUUUCUUAAAUCUCAUUUCUUUUGUUUGAGUGUUGGUUUUAGUGUUGGACUUUCUUAAUUCUUAUGUUUGGACUUUUUGCUUCUUGUUUCUUUGUAUUCUUAAGGUUUUUUACUGCUUGUGGUUUGUGGUUGUUGUGUUGGAGUUUUACUUGUUACUUCUUGGGUUUUAAUUUCUUAUUCCUUACUUAUUGCGUUUUAAUUCUUAUGUUUUAAUGUUUGGUUUCAUGUUUUUAGUUUUUCUUGCUUCUUAACGUUUAGUGGGUUCGUUAUUUUUUAAGAGGGUUUAGUGGGGUUUGGUCGUUGGGUUUUAUUUUUUUAAGCCUUAUCUUUAUCUUAUCCUUUAUUUCUUGCUUGUUUUGUUUCUUAUUUUUGAUUUCUUGCGUGUUAAGUUUUAUUUUUUGUGAAAUGUGUAUAAGGGAGUAGGGGUUAUUCUUGAUUUUUUAACGCCCUAUAUUUCUAGGGUUUUAGGCGUUCAAGGAUUUGGGUUGUAAUUUCU